AAUAAAUGCGGCACAGGUUCCAAGCAAAUGUAAUGUAGAAAACCAAUCAAAGGUUUGACACUCGAACCCAAACAUUAAACCCACUGCAAUGGACGGGAUACAUCAAUUAUCUUUUCACAAAAAUAAGAUAGUCCUAUUACUCAACAAAUAUACAUGCAUACUACUAUCUCAAAUGCCAAUUUCCACGGCAAAAUAAACUUGUAUGUCUAAUCGAAGAUGGGAUUUACUCUCAUGAAAGGUGGCUAUCCAGGCGAGCCGGGAGAGAGUUGUUCUUGGCCUACAUUUUAAGAUAAUGAUUAGAUAUAAAUCAUAUACCGAAACCAAUUUAUGAUGAUGUUACAAGUUAUAUGAGAAAUUGAAGAAAUUAAAAUUGCAUUUGACUAUAGUAAAAUCGCCAAUUUGAACCCCGAGGAAAUAGCUCUAAUAGGAUUUGCCUUUAAAAGAUUCGGGGUGAAUGAUGUCCGUUUGCAAUUUGUAAUUAUGAAAAUGAAAUUAAUCAACUCAAUGAUAGAUCCAUGUAUGAUAUCAAUGCGAUGGCAUAAAUUCUUGUACCAUUUAUUACUUUAUAUAUUCACGGAGCUAGAGGAAUUUGAAAACAUUGAAACCAAUAGAAAAAAAAGUACUCAAGUAAGAAAGCAACAUGAACAUAAGAAACAGCUUCUCUAGCAUACAAGGUGGCUGUGUCAUGAGUAAAUGAGUUGAUUUCUAGGAAUGCAGAUGGAAUCUUUAACGAGAAAAAUCGCCAAGCUAAUAUAUCUUUAGAGAAAAUGAGCAAGAAAAUAUACAAAGGAACAAAAAUCCUUAUGUCCAAAAAUUGAG
This 819-nucleotide long non-coding RNA is filed under the name Olea europaea subsp. europaea. Lineage: Eukaryota; Viridiplantae; Streptophyta; Magnoliopsida; Lamiales; Oleaceae. The record is from RNAcentral.